Molecule: non-coding RNA, 372 nt
Organism: Peromyscus maniculatus bairdii (prairie deer mouse)
Lineage: Eukaryota; Metazoa; Chordata; Mammalia; Rodentia; Cricetidae
Source: the annotation of a RefSeq genome assembly
AUGGACAAGAUCCUGAAGUCAUCAUUGUUAGUCCUGGCCCUUCCCCUAGCCUGGGUGAGUGGCCAGCAACAGGACAGACGUGACCAGCAGCAAGUGAGACAAAGUCCCCAAUCUCUGACAGUCUCGGCAGGAGGGACGUCAGUUCUGAACUGCACUUAUGAGGACAGCAGGUUUGACUACUUCCCAUGGUACCGGCAGUUCCCUGGUGAAGGCCCUACACUUCUGAUAGCCAUACGAUCCGUGUCGAAUAAAAAGGAAGAUGGAAGGUUCACAGUCUUCUUCAGGAAAAGUGAUAAACAGUUCUCCUUGCACAUCACAGAUUCUCAGCCUGGAGACUCAGCCACCUACUUCUGUGCAGCAGGAACACAGUGA